RNAcentral lists this ribosomal RNA (253 nucleotides) under uncultured bacterium. Its description in RNAcentral is "partial 16S ribosomal RNA". It matches the Rfam family "Bacterial small subunit ribosomal RNA", at positions 524 to 776 of the family's 1533-position model. The record is from RNAcentral.
UACGUAGGGUGCGAGCGUUAAUCGGCAUUACUGGGCGUAAAGCGUGCGCAGGCGGUUUUGUAAGCCAGAUGUGAAAUCCCCGGGCUUAACCUGGGAAUGGCAUUUGGGACUGCAAGGCUGGAGUGUGGCAGAGGAGACUGGAAUUCCUGGUGUAGCAGUGAAAUGCGUAGAUAUCAGGAGGAAUACCGAUGGCGAAGGCAGGUCUCUGGGCUGACACUGACGCUCAUGCACGAAAGCGUGGGGAGCAAACAGG